UACGAAGGGGGCUAGCGUUGCUCGGAAUUACUGGGCGUAAAGCGCACGUAGGCGGUCUUUUAAGUCGGGGGUGAAAUCCUGGAGCUCAACUCCAGAACUGCCUUCGAUACUGGAAGACUUGAGUCCGGGAGAGGUGAGUGGAACUGCGAGUGUAGAGGUGAAAUGCGCAGAUAUCAGGAGGAACACCAAUGGCGAAGGCAGCUCGCUGGGACGGUACUGACGCUGAGACGCGAAAGCGUGGGGGAGCAAACAGG
Molecule: ribosomal RNA, 254 nt
Filed under: uncultured bacterium
Lineage: Bacteria
Description: partial 16S ribosomal RNA
Rfam family: Bacterial small subunit ribosomal RNA
Source: RNAcentral